AUUUUUUUGUUAUAUAUUAAAAGUAAGGCCUGCCCAAUGAUUUUAAUUAAAUGGCUGCAGUAUUUUAACUGUACUAAGGUAGCAUAAUCAUUUGUUUAAUAAUUUUAGACUAGAAUGAAUGGUUUUAUGAAAAUAAAUCUUUCUUUUUAUUAAUAAUAAAAAUUUAUUUUAUCAAUUAAAAAAUUGAUAUAAAUUUAUAGGACGAGAAGACCCUAUAGAACUUUAUAUAUAAAAUCAAUAAUUAUUAAUUUUAUAUAUUAUAUUGGGGAGGUAGAAAUUUUUUUUUAACAAUUUUUUUUAAAAUCAUAAAUUUAUGAAUUUUUUGAUCCAAUCAAUAUUGAUUAUAAGAAUAAGUUACCUUAGGGAUAACAGCGUAAUUUAAUUGGAAAGUUCAUAUUUAUAAUUAGAGUUUGCGA
Molecule: ribosomal RNA, 416 nt
Filed under: Hoplonannus sp. UCR ENT 00081277
Lineage: Eukaryota; Metazoa; Arthropoda; Insecta; Hemiptera; Schizopteridae
Description: partial large subunit ribosomal RNA
Source: RNAcentral